Ochotona curzoniae (black-lipped pika) is the source of this 396-nucleotide long non-coding RNA. RefSeq lists it as uncharacterized. The transcript has 3 exons. The record is from RefSeq and is a predicted model, not a curated record. NCBI's taxonomy places the organism in Eukaryota, Metazoa, Chordata, Mammalia, Lagomorpha, Ochotonidae.
ACUAAGUGUGGCCUCAGCAAGACCUGCCCAUCCAACUUCUUUGCAUUUAAGAUCAGCAGUGGGGCUGCCAACGUCGUGGGCCCCUCUAUGUGCUUUGAAAAUCAGAUCAUCAUGAGUCCGGUGAAAAACAACGUGGGCAGAGGCCUGAACAUCGCCCUGGUGAACGGAACCACGGGACUGCUGCUGAGACACAGCUCCUUUGACAUGUACUCUGGAGGUAAGCCCGUGUGGGCACAUGCACACACACCCCACCAUGACAGGACCAGGGAGUGCGGAGAGGGCUGCUGGCGCUUGCUCUCAUGGGAGAUGACAGCGCCUGAACUCCAGGUAGACUGCCUUCCCGCUGGCCCAGCGAGGCUUUCCCAUGUGCAGGUCUCAAGACAAGGACCCAAGGGC